CUGGUGGUUUGAAUGUCCCCCUGUCUCCCACAGACUCAUGCAUUUGCACACUUGGUCAUCAGCUGGUGGUGCCUUUCAGAAGGUUGUGGAACCUUUAGGAGGUGGAGUCUUGAUGGAGGAGGUGCGUAACUGGCAAUGGGUGGGCUUAAGGCUUUACAGUAUGGCCCCACUUCCUGUUCACGCUCUGCUUCCUGACUGUGGAUGCAGUGUGAACAGCCUGCCUGCUAUUCCUACCACUAUGCCUUCACCAUCACAACCUUCUGUGAGUCCCUUCAAUUGCUUCUGGCCGGGGAUUUCGUCACAGCAACAGAAUAGUAAUCGGCAUGUCUGCACCUGCCUGGGAACUCAUGGAAGAGGCUGCCCAUCCACACCUCGGGAAUGACGUUGCCCCUCUGAGCCGUGGGGACAGCAUGACAGGGCUCAUCCAGUCAACCAGUCAAGAACUCAGCUAGCCAGAUGCAGCCUGUCUCUGCUUCCACAGGCCGGGCUUACAGACAUGUGUCGUCAUGACGAGUGUUUUAAGAGGGUGCUAGUGAUUAAAUUCGGGUCCUCAUGCUCUCCAGCCCAUUACGACAGGAUCUGGGAUCGUCUAGGAGAUGAGAUUCCAGGCACCACUGCGAGGGACUUUCUCGAUUGGGUUAAUUGAGGUGGGCAGUGCCAUGCCAUGAGCUGGGGUCCUGGAAUGAACGAAAGAGGAGACAAAAUGAGCACCAGCAUCCAUCUCCAUCUCCUCCUGGCUGUGGAUGCAGCGUGACCUCGUGCUCCUGCGGCACCAGCAUCCAUCUCCAUCUCCUCCUGGCUGUGGAUGCAGCGCGACCUCGUGCUCCUGCGGCCACAGCUCUGCCAUGACUGACUGUAGCUCACACUCUUGAGCUAAAUUAAACCCUCUGUUCUUAA
Mus musculus (house mouse) is the source of this 897-nucleotide long non-coding RNA. RefSeq annotates it as predicted gene, 39300. The transcript is spliced from 2 exons. The record is from RefSeq and is a predicted model, not a curated record. NCBI's taxonomy places the organism in Eukaryota, Metazoa, Chordata, Mammalia, Rodentia, Muridae.